AAGAAGGGAUUCUCUUGGAAAAAGAAUAUACGUUUUGGUGUGUUUUGGGGUUUUUCUGGGGUUUUUUUUGUUUGUUUUUUGGUUUUUUGUGUUUUGUUUUUUGGUUUUGUUUUGUUUUUGUUUUUGUUGUUGUUUUUGGGGUUUUUUUGGUGGAGUUGGUUUUUUGGGAUUUUUUUGUUUGUUUGUUUGUUUUUGGGUUUUUUUGGGGUUUUUUUUUUUUUUUUUUUGUCCUGCCUAAGCAUGGUGGAGAGGACGAGGAGGAGGACUGCAGAAGGCUGCCUCGCAGGAGGCAGACCUGGAAAGAGUCCUUAAACUGAACCCUCAAAGGCGGCAGCCCCUGCAAGUGGGACACUCGCUGGAGUUACUGUCGCCGCUCAUGCCCUUUCUCUGUGGACGUGAGAGGCCGCCCCGCAGGAACCAAAGACCCGCUGCUCAGAGCAUUGCCGGGGCGAGGGAUUUCCAGAUGGACAUACGGAACGAGAGUGACUUUCAAAAACGGGCUUUUUGGACCAGCACUGGGGAAAAUACUGAUGUUCAGGUAAAACUGAAUAAUCAUAGCACUGGAUAAUAAUGAAGAAGCAUUUACAUCCCAUGAAUUAACUAUGUCUUUUGGUACUCACUUAAUGUCGAUUUGCUGCUCAGUACUUGGACAAAAUUCCUUUCAUUUCUAGAGGAAGAACUCCUUGACUGUCGACUUCAGGAAUCAGCUGGACACAGCUGUAAAUACCCUGUGACAUAUAAACACACCCUUUCAGAGCUGAAUGAAUGUUAUUUGCACAAAGGGAUAAAAUCUUACACCAGUGCACCUGAUCUCUCCAAUGCUUAGGAUUUUUUGAAUAGUGCUCUGUUUUUAAUACAGAUUUCAAAUGCCUCCCGUAUGCUUAAACUACUACAAAAUUCGUAAUUUUGGGUGAAUCAAAGUUUGUUUUAAAGUAUGUUUUUGCUUAAAAGCACAGAAAUGAAGACGACACUGGAAAACACGGUAAUUCAGUAGUGGAAAUAUUAUUGUUCUAAUGGCACAUAUUAACAGAGACAGAGUAAACUGGGUUCUGAAAAAAAUGUAUUACAGACCUUUGUUCCAAGUUAAUAGAAAAGGUCCCAAUCCUAAAAUCGUUUAUGCAUUUAUAAUUUGAAGUUAGCAAUUUGAAAUAAAGGUAAAUAAUUGGUCUUGCAAACAAAGUGUGUCCUUACGUCUUUGCACUUAAUUUAAUACAUUGCAACUCUGCAACUCAAGGGGAAAACUAUUUACAUUCUCUUGGAAAUAAAAUAUAAUUUAAGGAGCUACCUAUCUGGAGUUCACCUAUAUGUGUACUUAUACAUCUAUGACUUUCCAGGAAAAUGUAAUUCUAAAAUUACAAAGCUCAGUAAUACUAUUUCAAUCUACUUCUGAGUGAUUGUUACCAAUUCAUGUUGAUGGAGUCUUUCCAUGAUUUUAGCAAUCCAUUCAAAUAAUUCUUUUUUUUCUUAGUUGGUGAAUUAAUAUGUAAAUAAAAUACAGAACAUUGAAAUUUUAAUUUUCAAAUACCAAAUAUGUUUUGGAUUUUAUGGUCUGGCACAAGUCCUAUUUGAUUAUGGUUUCAGUGAGAAUAUCACUAGAUCAUUUAAUGCUUUUAAAAUACGAUUCAACUAAAAGAUCUUGUACAAGUGGCUAUUUUACUUGAGUACUAUGCUGUAUUACCUGCACAAGAGAACAACUAAUUUAAGCCAUUAGUUCUUCUAGAAGAUGGUGUGUAACACACAUGGGCAAAUCAGGAUUUUAUUUUCCUUAAGGAAAUUAAAUAUUUUUAUUCUGCUUUUUAAAAUGAAAGAUCGAAUAAUUUGACUUCAUUCAGACAAGCAGUUGCUUGUAUUCUGCUUCAAAAGCUCACUCACAACAAUCUAUUGCAGAAUGGAUGUUCACUAUAUUCCUAAAGCACUUUAGUAUGCACAGGGUUCAUGUCAUUAUGCCUGAAAUGACCAGUGAAGUGAUAAAUCAAAUAUUUCAGAUUACCUGAUAACUACUGCAAAAAGCCUUUAAACCUUAUUUCUGUUCCAGGCCUGAGUCAUGGGGUGGGGAUAGCCCUAAUCUGUAUGGGAGGAGCUAUGCAGCCAUGCAACCAUGACUGUAGCACACUAAGGAGCAUAUACAGCAUGGACAAAACUGGUGGCAGUAUGGAGAAGGGCAUAGCUCUCUGAAUUACCCUGACAAAUCCACACCUAUGUAGCCCAGAAAAUGAACUGCAAGUUUCAGAGUAAAGCUUUAGAACCUAGUCCUGCUCCCUUUGAUGUUAAGGACAAAUGUAUCUUUUGCCCAAAACAAAUGACUGAGUUCCCAUAAAUUUAAGCUAUUUAUUCAGUCUGUUACUCUCAGAUUAGUUUUUUGUUCUUCAAAGUAAAUUUUAAUUCAAAAGGAAGGAAUUUUAAAAAUCUUCAUGGAGGGAGUACUCAUAAAAUUUUCACAAAGUAUAUGGAAAGCUGUAGGUAUGUCUCUUGCUGCUGUUUACAACUGCUGCUGCUGUGUACUGAGAUAAGCUUUAUAAAUGCAAAGAUAGUAAUAAAGAAGGUAACAAAGAAGGGACCUCUUUUGCCCUCCUCACUCUGAUGUUUACUCUCCUGACUGCUAUAUGUUGUUAUUCAGCUUCAUCAAUUAUGUACAGCAUGUAAUACUGGAGUAAAAAAAACACCUGGAACCAAUGUUUUCUUAGAUAUUAUUGUUGUAAUUUGUUGUGUUGUUUUGGUUUGGUUUGGUUUUUUUCUGUAGAAUUAAUGAAAAAUGCAUUGGUUUUUAUCAUUUUUGUCUCUUUAACAGCCAGUAUAGCAUUCAAAUACCUGUCAUUUUAAGUUGUUUACCUGUUAUUUUAAGUUGUUGUAAUGCACAAACACUGUGCUUUCUGUUUACCUCUUAGUAAUUCAUAGGUAUGUAUAUUACCUUAUUACAGUAUAUGUAUUUCUAAUUAGAUAUUUAAAAUAAUUAGGACAUAUCAAUAAAAUAUUUUUUUUAAUUACAACUGUAUAUUUUAUAUACUCUCUCAAUAACUGGAAGGAAUUUUCCUAUAAAAAGUGGUAGCUGGUUAUCUGAAUACAGUAACGCAAUCGUUAUCUAUCAUCCUAAAUUUAAGUACUUUAUAAGAAGUACUAAUAGAAGUACUAUUAGAAGUACUCUAUUAAGACUUCUAUAAGAAUCUGGUGUUAAGGCUGUACUACACAAUGAUUAUGAAGAAUUUCAUAAUGCAUGCUGUGUGACAGCUAAUACAAGGGUAUAUUCUUUGCAUUGCCUUUAGUUCACAGGAACAAAUAAUAGCACCAUGUAACUAAUUGACUAGGGAAUAUUCACUGUGGAAAGUAAGCAACCUAAAUAUGAAACUGACAGUGGCACAGGUUAAAUAAAAAGUCAAAGAAGCCUGAGGAGUCAAAUAUUUGUAUGGUUACUUCCUUUAAGUUUACAGCUUCAUGGAGACUACUGAAUUUUAUUUAUUUUUUCUGGUAAACCAGAUGGAGGUAAUAUUUUUUCCUUCUUCUAAUUAUUUAGCUUAAUUGACUAAGAAGAAUUUAAUAUUAAAUCAAAUGUACAUUUUCAUUUUAAGUGGCAAACUUGCGUUAUCUCUACCAUCUUAAGAAUGCGCUUCUGUUUGUACUUAAUAUGAAUUCUAUGGCAGGCAUAUAUGUUAAAUUGUACAAUAAUGUUUCUAUGGAGAAAAAAUGACAAGACAAAAUUCUUCUGGUAGUUUCAUUUGAAUGUUAAAGUAAACUCUUUAUGCAAAGUACUAGGUAUUCUGAAUAUAGUUAAAAUAAAGAAAAUUAAAACAUGUAAUUUA
Molecule: long non-coding RNA, 3794 nt
Filed under: Taeniopygia guttata (zebra finch)
Lineage: Eukaryota; Metazoa; Chordata; Aves; Passeriformes; Estrildidae
Description: lncRNA (ENSTGUG00000027177.1)
Source: RNAcentral